Molecule: long non-coding RNA, 1493 nt
Filed under: Helianthus annuus (common sunflower)
Lineage: Eukaryota; Viridiplantae; Streptophyta; Magnoliopsida; Asterales; Asteraceae
Description: hypothetical non coding rna
Source: RNAcentral
CUCGAACACUACAUCUCCAUUAUCCACAUUUUUUCCGGAUAACCACCUUCUAAUCGCAUCAACUGAAAAGCACCUAUUUACAUCCCCAUUCCAUCUCCAAUCAUCUACACACUUGAUUAGCGAGACAUGACGAAUCACCUCCAUCAACUCGUCCGAUUCCUUUAACUCGAUCUCCGACUCCGGAUCCUUCUUCCACGACCAAUUAACCGAGGUUAUCAUCGGCCACUGGAAUUCUAAUAACCGUCCGAUCUCAUCGUCGCCGGAAUCUGAUUCACCGCCACCGUAUUCAUCCAGAUCAGGUUUUCAAUCAGUUACCGGAAUUAUAACAACCUUCCGUACGAUCUCAUCAACCGCUGGGUCAUAGCCGGAAUCUGACGUCAUCUGAAAUCUAAUCAGCUUUAUUCAUGACAGAUAACCGACUUGGCCUCGGCUGAAACGCCGUACGCCGCCGCUGUUGAUGCGACGACGGUCGAAUCAACGCUGCUAAAGCUCUCUUCACCAGAUCACCGCCUUCAACGGUACCGAUUCUCACGAGCGAGUUCGUCAUCGCCGACCGCCGCGCGUUAAGCCGAUUAUUCGGAUACGACGCCGUAUUGUUUUGGACAUUAUUAACGUUCUUAUGCAAACUGCAUCUAAAGGAACCUGGAUGAGAAGUAGGCGAACACAUACACAUCCGUUUCGGAGCCUGUAACGGCUUCUUCGCCGGUGAAUUGCUGUUCGUCGGUGUUACGGAGAUCGAACGGUUAGAAGUGAAUCGUACGGACGGUGAUGGUGAUGAUGAUCCGUAGAGGUUGACACGUGUGGGAGAUGCAGAUCGGUUGAAAAAGGAAGUGGAUGAUGAGAAUGAAGAGGUUGAAGAAGCGAAGGAGUUUGAUGAGGGAGAGGUGUGGAAUCUUCCAGAAGGUGAGUGAGAUCGGAGCACUGGUCUUCUAUUCGCCAUUGAUUUACAGUGAAGAAAUUAGGGUUUUGAAAUAAGGAAGAAGAAGAUGGAGGGAAUUUUUAAAGACUGAAAUUCGGUUGCUAAAUUGGCAAACCUAUCUCUACUCGAGCCAUGUAUUUAAAGGAAACGAAAAACGGAUAUUUGGAUUAUCUUUUUCUUGAAAAGUUAAUAAUUUUGAAAAAAAAAAAAAUUUAUUUUAAAUAAAAUAUAUAUUUUUUGAUUGGUUUGAGGGGAUGUUUCUAGGUCGACAGAAACGACAAGGAUUAGACUCUAGAUGAGUGUGGGGUGCCACGUAUAAAGCACAUUUAACGAUGUGAUUUAAAGUUUCGUGAAAAAAUGUAAGAAUUUGCUAGGAAAAUAUAUUUUAAGUAGUGUAAGAAUUUAAUAGGAAAAUAUAUUUUAACGUAGUGUUUGUUGGUGCAUUUUAUAUAAACUAUCAAGAUGUUCGCGUGAUAUGUUGGGAGUGACACAUCGCAUUACGAUACUUAUAUACAUAAAAAAAAGUAAUCGGGUAAUCUAUUUGUGGGCCGGCUCAACCAUUUUGGUGGUCUAA